UUCGGGUUGUAAACCGCUUUCGCCUGUGACGAAGCGUGAGUGACGGUAAUGGGUAAAGAAGCACCGGCUAACUACGUGCCAGCAGCCGCGGUGAUACGUAGGGUGCGAGCGUUGUCCGGAUUUAUUGGGCGUAAAGGGCUCGUAGGUGGUUGAUCGCGUCGGAAGUGUAAUCUUGGGGCUUAACCCUGAGCGUGCUUUCGAUACGGGUUGACUUGAGGAAGGUAGGGGAGAAUGGAAUUCCUGGUGGAGCGGUGGAAUGCGCAGAUAUCAGGAGGAACACCAGUGGCGAAGGCGGUUCUCUGGGCCUUUCCUGACGCUGAGGAGCGAAAGCGUGGGGAGCGAACAGGCUUAGAUACCCUGGUAGUCCACGCUGAAACGGUGGGUACUAGGUGUGGGGCCAUUCCAGGGUUCCGUGCCGUAGCUAACGCUUUAAGUACCCCGCCUGGGGAGACGGCCGCAAGGCUAAAACUCAAGGAAUUGA
Molecule: ribosomal RNA, 481 nt
Filed under: Cutibacterium acnes
Lineage: Bacteria; Bacillati; Actinomycetota; Actinomycetes; Propionibacteriales; Propionibacteriaceae
Description: bacterial SSU rRNA
Rfam family: Bacterial small subunit ribosomal RNA
Source: RNAcentral